RNAcentral lists this long non-coding RNA (5341 nucleotides) under Podarcis muralis (Common wall lizard). Its description in RNAcentral is "lncRNA (ENSPMRG00000010239.1)". The stretch from base 2901 to 2973 matches the Rfam family "tRNA". Lineage: Eukaryota; Metazoa; Chordata; Lepidosauria; Squamata; Lacertidae. The record is from RNAcentral.
GUAUUAAUAUGAAUUCAUGGUGGAUAAGGCUAUCAGUGGCUACUAGUCAUUAUGGCUAUGUACUACCUCUAGUAUUGGAGGUGGUAUACCUCUGAAUACCAGUUGGUGGGGAUCCAAUGUGGUUGGCCACUGUGAGAAAGGAUGCUGGAGUAGGGAGGUCAUUGUCCUGACCCAGCAGGGCUCUUCUUAUGUUCUUAAGACCCUAUGUUGGAGGUAACAGUGCUUCAGAAUACCAGUUUCUGGAAACCACAGGAGGGGAGAGUGCGCUUGAAUCCUGCUUGCAGGUUUUCCACAGGCAGUAUUCUUGGCUGCUUUGAAAACAGGAUGUUGGACUAGAUGGGCUGCAGCCCUUCUUCUGUUCUUACGGUUGUCUGGAAGAGACCAUGUAUGUGAAGUAAUGUGCAUUGCCAUCUAAAGUGGCAAUGCACCCAGGGUCUAAAAGUGCCAAAGUGCACCCCAUGGCACCUUACAGAAGUCUGUAUUAUAUUUUACUGUAUUAUACAAAUACGCAAGCCCAGGGCUUUCUUUCUUUUUUUUUUUUAGCAGGAGCUCACUGGACCUCAACUUUGGCACUUCUCAGGUCUUAGAAUUGGCACUCUAGGAGAACAAGGGAGAAGUUCGUGGUGAGCUCUGGCACCUCCUUUUCUAGAAAAAUAGGACUGCACAAGCCUAUAUUAUAAUAUUGUAUCACUUUUCAGCGCAGGAAAACAGCAGCACAUAAAUGCUUCUAAUAAACCCCAUAUAACAACUGCGUUUGGGGGGCUGGGUUUUUUGAAGAAGGAAAAAGCACCUUUUGGUGCGAAAUGGACAAUUUUUAGCUCCGUUUUAUCGUUUGCACAGGGAUGAGGGGGGAAAGCAUUGCUCGGGAUGGGGCGGCGUGGAGGCAUCCCCAAAGGUGCCAGCGUGAAAAUGCCGCUUAAUUUGAGCCAAAGGCGAAUCUCUCCGCGUCUCUACACUAAUUUGGGGUCGCAUCCCAAGAAUCCAGUAAGUGCAGAACGCGGCGGGCCGAUCCUUUGCCGCCUUUACUCGCCAUCUCCGUCCCUCGUCCGGCGCGGGCGAACAGCUCUCUCGGCUCCGAAGCCGAGCGCAAAGCCGCCUGGGUGGCCUCGGCCUGCCUUGUCGUUGCGAGGAGGCGGGGAAGGGCCUUCCGUUGAGCCAACCCCUUUUCUGUCGGAGGGUGGGGAAUCACGCGCGGCCCUUGCCUUUAAGGUUCAAUCGACAGAAAAGAAAGGGGGUGGUGGCCAAAGGCGCCGGCCGGCCGAGCCGAGGUGGUGGUGGUGGUGGUGGUGGUGGGGCGCUGCGCGCGCGCGCACCGAUUCCCGGGGUUGGAACCCGCCCCCCCGCCGCCGCGCAGCCGAAGAAGCAGGUGCAGCGAGGCGAGCGAGCUGGUGCGGCGCAAGGAGAAUGGCUUAGAAGGAGUGACUGGCACUGCUGCUCCCUGCAUCCCAGAAUCUACUGCCUGAGGUGACCUGUGCCUAAUGAUAGAGCCGGCCUUUAUAUCUUCCUAAACUCAGAUGUGAACUUUGAUAUAUGCCAGGCCUAACGCAGAUAUGUCUGGAAUUCUUAUGGCACAGUGGAGGAUGCCACAUUUGCUACCCCGAUCUAGCCUUUUAGCUGCGAAAGUGCCACAAUUUCAGCCCAGCGUUCUAAUACGAAAGCAGUAAAAUAAUGUACUUUCUCGCAAUGCCCCCCUUUUUAUUAAUACUUUAAGAACGUUCUAUUCUGAAGCCAUGACUGGAGGGCAGGAAGGUUUUGCCGCUUGAUGCUUUGAGACUUUAAUGGAGGACCACGCCAGUCCCGAGAAGACUAGAGGAAACAUUGGAUGCGGCCGAGAAAGCUUAAUAUGUCAGGGAGGAUUUGUUUGGUUAUAUGUUGCUCACUGCACUGUGCAAAGAGGACUGUGACGUACAGCUUCGUUUUUGCAGAAGGGAAGAGAGGCUAUUAAUCAGAUGGGUGUCGAGCCAAGAAGCACGCACUGAAUUUUUGAAAACAAUAUACUUAAAAAAAAAAGAAUAGAAAAGAAAUAAAAAUGGAUUGUUUUAUCUAAAAAUGUUGCAGGACUGGAAAAGACCCCCUUGCAGUCAUAGUAGACGAAGCCAGGCUUAUCUGGCAAAGGAUGAGGUGGCCUUUUUAUAGUCAGAAACUCGUUAACAAUCAAGGAGCCAGAGAUUAAUCCACAUGAUUUCCUUAUACAGUGGUACCUCAGGUUACAAACACUUCGGGUUACAAACGCUUCAGGUUACAAACUCCGCUAACCUAGAAGUAGUACCUCGGGUUACGAACUUUGCCCCAGGAUGAGAAUGGAAAUUGCGUGCCGGUGGCACGGCAGCAGUGGGAGGCCCCAUUAGUGAAAGUUUGCCUCAGGUUAAGAACGGUUUCGGGUUAAGAACGGACCUCUAGAACGAAAUUAAGUUUGUAACCCAAGGUACCACUGUAAUAGCAUUUCACCAACAGGAAGCCAGAGGAGACAACAUCCAAUUCCAGGAGUGCUUUAUUUAUUAUUAUUAUUAUUACAUAUUUUAUAUCACCUCCCCCCCCACAAGGAGCUCAAAGUGGUGCCCAUGGUUCUCCUUUCCCCACUUUAUCUUCACAACAGUCUUAGGGGGUGUCUGAGAGACUGUGAUUGGCCCAAGGUCACUCAGUGAGCUACCAUAUCUGAAGUUGCACAGUCUUCUGUAUGCCUCAAGUUUCUCUGAGAAAGGCAAAACAAAACAAGUUUCUUGUACAAAAUUCAUUCCCAAACCUACAUGUUAGUAGCUAGAAAUACAAACCUAAGUUGAAAAUGCUGACUUAACAUCUGAAGGAUUCAUAUUUUAAGUUUUGAUCAUUAAUAAUUAUUCCAUUUAUAUACCACCCUUCCUCGUAAAGGAUCCCAGUGCUGUGCACAAUGUAAACAAUAGUCCUGGAUAGCUCAGUCGGUAGAGCAUGAGACUCUUGAUCUCAGGGCCGUGGGUUCGAGUCCCACGUUGGGCAAAAGAUUCCUGCAUGGCAGGGGGUUGGACUAGAUGACCCUCGUGGUCCCUUCCAACUCUACAAUUCUACGAUCAGUUGUUAGAAUAUGUAAAAAUUUCAGUGCUAAAAACAAAUAUGGCAAAAUAAGCCUCCUAAUAUCAACAUAGGAAGCUACUUUGUUGUGAGUUAGACCCUUGGUUCAUCUCACCCAGUGGCAUUAAUGAUGGCUACCUGGCAGUGGCCCUCCAGGAAUUCAGCUUGGAGAUCUCUGCCAGCCUUACCUGGAGAUGCCUGAGGUUGGACCAGGAACCUUCUGAAUGCAAAGCAGGUGCUCUGCCGCUGAGCUAUAAGAAGAGAACAGUUGAAUUCCAGAGCCAAUGUCUGCCCCAAAUGCCUUGUGAGAAGCUUCCUGCGAAAAAAGAUUAAAAGGUUGCAUGCUUAAAUUUCAGAUUAAGCAGUAGGGGACCCAGGUGAGAAAAGAGGACAGGGCUCCUGAACUUUUAAGUCGUGUGUAGAUGAAGAAAUUUCAGUAGGGUGUAUUUGAAAGGUCCCAGGAGAUGAAGCAAUUACUAGAGGAUUGGGAUUUCCAAUUAUUCCUUGGCUCUUACUCCUGUGCGUAGGAUUGCCAGCUACUAGGGGAGAGGGGGAAACCUGCCGUGGCCUCCUUAUGCGCCUUUAAAAGUGGCUUGAGUUGCAGAGAACCAGCAAGAUAAGCGUGAGCACUUGCUACGUGCUGCAGAUCAAAUGGUUCUUAAAAGCCCAGCUACAGGUAAGUACAGCUACAUCAAGACCUGCCAACUGGUGGAAAUGUUUUGAAGGCAUCUCCAAGGGAGUCUAAAUUGGACUAGAACUGUGCACAGGGACAAAUCUCUUUCAUAGAAAGGUUUUAGGGAGGACGGUCAGAUCUUUGCUAAAUAGGAAGAUAAGUAAACUGGUAUGUUGUAACUGUUUGUUGUAAGGUUGCAUGAAGGAUACCCGUUGGAUUUGAUAGUGGAUGCUGGAGGAUGGGGCUAGGGGUAAGCCGUGAAAUGGCAAAGUCACCAAAUUAUUUAAGGUAGUAAAAAAGAAAAGGGGACAGCAAGAAUUAUGGCGCAUGGCUCAGUCGGUAGAGCAUGAGGCUCUUACUCUUGGGACUGUAGAUUUGAGCCCCAUGUUGGGCAAAAGAUUCCUGCAUUGCAGGGCAUUGGACUAGAUGACCCUUGUGGUCCCUUCCAACUUUACAGUUCUAAGGAAGCUCCCAAAGGCUUGUUCCAAACCAGAGGAAAGGAUGUUAAAAUGGCAGAUGUGAGUCAGUGUAAGCAAAUGUAAAGUGAUGCACACUGGGGCAAAAAAAAUUUAAAUCCGAACUUUGCAGAUAUGCUGAUGGGAUCUGAGCUGGCAGCAACUGACCAGGAAAGAGUUCUUUGGGUUGUGGUAGGCGGCUCAAGGAAAACAUUGGCCCUAUGUGUGGCUGCUGUGAAAAAAGCGAGCUCUUAUAUUGGAGAUCAUUAGGAAAAUAGUUGAAAAUAAAUCUGCCAAUGUCACGAUGCCCUUAUACAAAUCUGUGGUGCAACAGUGCUUGGAAUAUGUGACCAGUUCUCAUCACUGUACUUCGAGAAGAAUACUGCACAGCUUGAAAAAGGUGUAGAAAGGAGCUUCUAUGAGGAUAUCAUAGAACAGGGGUAGGCAACCUAAGGCCUGGGGGCUGGAUGCAGCCCAAUCGCCUUCUCAAUCUGGCCUGUGGAUGGUCCAGGAAUCAGCGUGUUUUUACAUGAGUAGAAUGUGUCCUUUUAUUUAAAAUGCAUCUCUGGGUUAUUUGUGGGGCACAGGAAUUCAUUCAUUAUUUUUUUCAAAAUAUAGUCUGGCCCACCACAUGGUCUGAGGGACGGUGCACCGGCCCAUGGCUGAAAAAGGUUGCUGGCCCCUGUCAUCUUAGAGCUGGAAGGUACACAAGGGUCAUCUUGUCCAACCCCUUGCAAUGCAAGAAUCUUGGCUAAAGCAUCCAUGACAGAUGGCCAUCCAACCUUUGCUUAAAAAACUGCAAAGAUGGAGAGUCCACCACCUCUCGUGGGAAUCUGUUCCACUGCCAAACAGCUCUUACUGUCUGAAAGGUUUUCCAAAUGUUUAGUCGGAAUCUCCUUUCUUGUAACUUGAAGCCAUUGGUUCAAGUCCUACCCCCCAGAUCAGCAGAAAACGAGCAUGUCCCCUCUUCCCUUAAGAUAUUUGAAGAUAGCUAUCAUAUCAUAGCUAUCCUAUCUCCUAUCAUAUGGAAGUGAGAGCUGGACCAUAAAGAAGGUUGAUCGCCGAAGAAUUGAUGCUUUUGAAUUAUGGUGCUGGAGAAGACUCUUGAGAGUCCCAUGGACUGCAAGAAUAUCAAACGCAUCCAUUCUUAAGGAAAUCAGCCCUGAGU